GAACAUAUAAACACAAAAGAAAAGAAAAAAACAAAUCAUGUUCUCCUAUUACAAAGAAAUCCAGAUAAAUUAAAGCGCAAUGGGUCCAUCUUCAUUGUUUUUCUUCCAUUGUUGUUCCUUUUGGAUUGGCACGUGCUCAACAACAACUCAAAUCAAGAUGACCUAAAACCGGUUUGGUUAGGACACAGUUGCAAUAGGGACUCCAACUAGCUCCGUUGGAAGGGACAAAUGUGAUUAAAGGAGUAGAGAUAGAUAUAUACAAUGACGAAAAAUGCAAAUUUAAAUAAAAGUACUAGAUUGUAGGAGAGGAAUAGGAGAUGUAAAAGAUCAUUGGAGGAAGAGGUGAGGAGAGUUGGUGGUGCGAAAAAACGGAGAUGGAAAAGAGGGGAAAAUUCUCCCUAGCAAGAGAGAGAGAGAGAAAAAACUAAUCUUAAAUGGGAAAAAGUUCUCCCAUGGAGGUAGAAAUCCUCCGAUGGAAGGAAGAGAAGCCCCAUAAAGGAUGUUAGUCACUUCUUUUUUCUCACUUUUGCUAGGGUUUGAAAAAGAAUAUUGUGUCGUUUCUUAUUGUGACAAUGUAGCCU
This 581-nucleotide long non-coding RNA is filed under the name Glycine max (soybean). RNAcentral's name for it is "long non-coding RNA (GMAX_LNC004078)". Lineage: Eukaryota; Viridiplantae; Streptophyta; Magnoliopsida; Fabales; Fabaceae. The record is from RNAcentral.